CCUACGGGGGGCAGCAGUGAGGAAUAUUGGUCACUGGACGAGAGUCUGAACCAGCCAAGUAGCGUGAAGGAUGACUGCCCUAUGGGUUGUACACUUCUUUUAUAUGGGAAUAAAAUGUUCCACGUGUGGGAUUUUGUAUGUACCAUAUGAAUAAGGAUCGGCUAACUCCGUGCCAGCAGCCGCGGUAAUACGGAGGAUCCGAGCGUUAUCCGGAUUUAUUGGGUUUAAAGGGAGCGUAGGUGGAUUGUUAAGUCAGUUGUGAAAGUUUGCGGCUCAACCGUAAAAUUGCAGUUGAAACUGGCAGGCUUGAGGACAGUAGAGGUGGGCGGAAGUCGGGGGGGAGCGGUGAAAUGGUUAGAUAUCACGAAGAAAUCCGAUUGCGAAGGCAGCUCAAUGGACUGCAACUGACACUGAGGGUCGAAAGUGGGGGUAUCAAACAGGAUGAGAUACCCGGGUGGUC
RNAcentral lists this ribosomal RNA (460 nucleotides) under uncultured bacterium. RNAcentral describes it as "partial 16S ribosomal RNA". It matches the Rfam family "Bacterial small subunit ribosomal RNA", at positions 338 to 795 of the family's 1533-position model. The record is from RNAcentral.